ACAGCAGCAGCCGCGGGAAAACGGAGGGUGCAAGCGUUAAUCGGAAUUACUGGGCGUAAAGCGCACGCAGGCGGUCUGACAAGUCAGAUGUGAAAUCCCCGGGCUUAACCUGGGAACUGCAUUUGAAACUGUCAGGCUGGAGUCUUGUAGAGGGGGGUGGAAUUCCAGGUGUAGCGGUGAAAUGCGUAGAGAUCUGGAGGAAUACCGGUGGCGAAGGCGGCCCCCUGGACAAAGACUGACGCUCAGGUGCGAAAGCGUGGGGAGCAAACAGGAUUAGAUACCCCGGUAGUCCCUGUCUCUUAUAC
RNAcentral lists this ribosomal RNA (305 nucleotides) under uncultured bacterium. RNAcentral's name for it is "partial 16S ribosomal RNA". It matches the Rfam family "Bacterial small subunit ribosomal RNA", at positions 505 to 807 of the family's 1533-position model. The record is from RNAcentral.